RNAcentral lists this ribosomal RNA (207 nucleotides) under uncultured bacterium. Its description in RNAcentral is "partial 16S ribosomal RNA". It matches the Rfam family "Bacterial small subunit ribosomal RNA", at positions 568 to 774 of the family's 1533-position model. The record is from RNAcentral.
CUCGUAGGCGGCGUGUCGCGUCGACUGUGAAAACCCGCAGCUCAACUGCGGGCCUGCAGCCGAUACGGGCAGGCUAGAGUUCGGUAGGGGAGACUGGAAUUCCUGGUGUAGCGGUGAAAUGCGCAGAUAUCAGGAGGAACACCGGUGGCGAAGGCGGGUCUCUGGGCCGAUACUGACGCUGAGGAGCGAAAGCGUGGGGAGCGAACA